UAGGGAAUCUUCGGCAAUGGACGAAAGUCUGACCGAGCAACGCCGCGUGAGUGAAGAAGGUUUUCGGAUCGUAAAACUCUGUUGUUAGAGAAGAACAAGGACGUUAGUAACUGAACGUCCCCUGACGGUAUCUAACCAGAAAGCCACGGCUAACUACGUGCCAGCAGCCGCGGUAAUACGUAGGUGGCAAGCGUUGUCCGGAUUUAUUGGGCGUAAAGCGAGCGCAGGCGGUUUCUUAAGUCUGAUGUGAAAGCCCCCGGCUCAACCGGGGAGGGUCAUUGGAAACUGGGAGACUUGAGUGCAGAAGAGGAGAGUGGAAUUCCAUGUGUAGCGGUGAAAUGCGUAGAUAUAGGGAGGAACACGAGUGGCGAAGGCGGCUCGCUGGUCUGUAACUGACGCUGAGGCUCGAAAGCGUGGGGAGCAAACAGG
RNAcentral lists this ribosomal RNA (429 nucleotides) under Gemmatimonadota bacterium. RNAcentral's name for it is "Gemmatimonadetes bacterium partial 16S ribosomal RNA". It matches the Rfam family "Bacterial small subunit ribosomal RNA", at positions 355 to 776 of the family's 1533-position model. Lineage: Bacteria; Pseudomonadati; Gemmatimonadota. The record is from RNAcentral.